AUCUUUACUUGGAGAUUGCCUACUUUGGGAGUUUACUAGUGAGCCUGGUAUUCUCUGAACAGGGAGGAAACCCAAGGCACAGAGGAGGAGGUGAGAUACUGAGAACUGCUCCAGCAAACCAGGAAAAGAGGUCCACCAGGCAUUCCACGUGCCAGCCUGGGCUCCCUCCCUACUGUAUGGCAGCAUCACUCACAGAAAUGAUAAGGCUAAAGGAGCAAGAGGAAAGGUUGUCCAGCACCGAGCAGCUAACGGCCCUUUGUGGACUCAGACCAUCAAAGAGAAGACUACAGAAUGGGGACAGGCAUUCUUUCCAUUCCUGUCUGUCAGUGAAUAUGAGGAAAUGAGAGCAUGGGCCAGACCUCACUCCAGACGCAGAAAUGGGUGUACAUUGCUAUUCAGGCUUGAAUCGAGGUACCUUUGGUCCAGCAGCCUGCCUCCUACCACAAGCACUUCUGGAGGCUAUACAAGAACUCUGCUACAUGUAAAUAUAAGGUAAUUCACUUUCCACAGUUGGCCUUAUCUUCAUCUCUAAUAGAUCAUGACUUAAAUCUGGAAGUACAGAAGCUUAAUAAUUAAAAAUGUUCUCAGAGCUAAAUUAAAAAACAAACAAACAAACAAGCAAAAAACUGGAAAUUUUAGCAUUGAGAUAAAUAAUCAAAGUGAUUUUGGCGUUUGUUUAACUUUUGAUAGCAGAAAACACCAAUCAGCUUGGGUCCUUGGACCCAUAACCAUCCUUUUCCUGUAGGUUCCAUUGCCUCGCUACUUGCUGUUAUAGCAACAGACACUUUGCAUAUUCAGUUAACAUUAUUUGGUUAUAAAAUGCAAUAAGCUAUUACUUCACCACUGCAGGUUUUGCUACUAGUAAGCCUCAACUUUCCACAGCCAAAAGAUUUACUGGAAGAUUCCUUUCUAAAAAGCUUACCUAAACGAACAAAGCACUUCUAGCUUGCAUUUGAUAUGUCAAUGGAAUGUGGUAUUCUUCACAAAAUCAGGUUAAUCUGAGACAGUUCAUGAGUUGUUUGAGCUGUGAUCCCCCUCCUCAGAGUAGUGACAUGGAAAGGGACUGGGUAUUCCUGAAACCCUGAUAGAAGUUGUACAUAGAGGAAAUGCUGCAUUUCCUUUGUUCUUUAUAUGUUCUAUAAAUAUUUAAUGUGUUUGUUAAAGCUAUGUUAUUUCUGGAAGCAUGCCUACUCUCUUGUUUAAUUUUUCCUGAAUCCUUCAUGGCUGCAGAUAGCUUGGGAUACACAGAGAUUUAGCAUUCAAUAUUUAUGCUCUUGCUAAUGGACACCACAUGAAGAUUGGGAAUGUAAACGGGUUGCAAGGAACAGAGAGGGAAAUUUUUAGCACAUCUAAAAAAGGACUGGGCUUAGAGUCCUUCGGGUGAAAGACAUUUCUAUUACUCAUACUUAUGACUUUCCAUCCUUCUCACAGAAAAAAAAGAAUGAGAAAGGUCAUCAGAGCUUCCUAAGCCUGAUCAGAUAUCAGAAUGGUCCUGCUGAGUUUUGCAUCCUGACACUUUGAAUUAUGGCAAAAGAAUUUUUAGCAACAUGCUCUUCUUUUUCCAUCUUUUUAUAUUCAUUUAUCACAGCUAGUGAUUGUUCCUGGCUUCUUUUGAUCAUAGCCAACUUCUUUCCCUUUGGAGAAAGUAUUUCUUAAUACGAAAAUGUUAUCCUUUCACUUCUGCGAUUAAAUAUAACCACUUUGUUUCCAUUUUCUUGCUAUAAUGCUCCUAACACAUUCACCCUGCCCAGCUCUGAAGGAACAGCUGUAAUACUUUGUCUAUGGCAAUAUAUGCAAGAAAGAUGCAAAAAUGUCAGGCAGCACAAUAAAUAAAACCUUUUCUAUAAAUAUAC
Molecule: long non-coding RNA, 1853 nt
Organism: Gallus gallus (chicken)
Lineage: Eukaryota; Metazoa; Chordata; Aves; Galliformes; Phasianidae
Source: Ensembl